This 734-nucleotide ribosomal RNA is filed under the name Streptomyces sp. CB 286552. RNAcentral describes it as "bacterial SSU rRNA". It matches the Rfam family "Bacterial small subunit ribosomal RNA", at positions 93 to 839 of the family's 1533-position model. The record is from RNAcentral. Lineage: Bacteria; Bacillati; Actinomycetota; Actinomycetes; Kitasatosporales; Streptomycetaceae.
UAGUGGCGAACGGGUGAGUAACACGUGGGCAAUCUGCCCUUCACUCUGGGACAAGCCCUGGAAACGGGGUCUAAUACCGGAUACCACUCUCUUCCGCAUGGGAGAGGGUUGAAAGCUCCGGCGGUGAAGGAUGAGCCCGCGGCCUAUCAGCUUGUUGGUGGGGUGAUGGCCCACCAAGGCGACGACGGGUAGCCGGCCUGAGAGGGCGACCGGCCACACUGGGACUGAGACACGGCCCAGACUCCUACGGGAGGCAGCAGUGGGGAAUAUUGCACAAUGGGCGAAAGCCUGAUGCAGCGACGCCGCGUGAGGGAUGACGGCCUUCGGGUUGUAAACCUCUUUCAGCAGGGAAGAAGCGAAAGUGACGGUACCUGCAGAAGAAGCGCCGGCUAACUACGUGCCAGCAGCCGCGGUAAUACGUAGGGCGCAAGCGUUGUCCGGAAUUAUUGGGCGUAAAGAGCUCGUAGGCGGCUUGUCACGUCGGAUGUGAAAGCCCGGGGCUUAACCCCGGGUCUGCAUUCGAUACGGGCAGGCUAGAGUGUGGUAGGGGAGAUCGGAAUUCCUGGUGUAGCGGUGAAAUGCGCAGAUAUCAGGAGGAACACCGGUGGCGAAGGCGGAUCUCUGGGCCAUUACUGACGCUGAGGAGCGAAAGCGUGGGGAGCGAACAGGAUUAGAUACCCUGGUAGUCCACGCCGUAAACGUUGGGGAACUAGGUGUUGGGCGACAUUCCACGU